Halocaridina rubra (Hawaiian volcano shrimp) is the source of this 74-nucleotide non-coding RNA. The record is from the annotation of a GenBank genome assembly. Lineage: Eukaryota; Metazoa; Arthropoda; Malacostraca; Decapoda; Atyidae.
UCCUUUUGUGGCGCAGUUAGUAGCGCCUUGGUUUAGUAAUUAUAAGUCGUAGGUUCAAGUCCCAGUCAGGGAAA